GAGACAGGUGCUGCAUGGCUGUCGUCAGCUCGUGUUGUGAAAUGUUGGGUUAAGUCCCGCAACGAGCGCAACCCUUAUCCUUUGUUGCCAGCGAUUCGGUCGGGAACUCAAAGGAGACUGCCGGUGAUAAACCGGAGGAAGGUGGGGAUGACGUCAAGUCAUCAUGGCCCUUACGAGUAGGGCUACACACGUGCUACAAUGGCGCAUACAAAGAGAAGCGACCUCGCGAGAGCAAGCGGACCUCACAAAGUGCGUCGUAGUCCGGAUCGGAGUCUGCAACUCGACUCCGUGAAGUCGGAAUCGCUAGUAAUCGUGGAUCAGAAUGCCACGGUGAAUACGUUCCCGGGCCUUGUACACACCGCCCGUCACACCAUGGGAGUGGGUGCAAAAGAAGUAGGUAGCUUAACCUUCGGGAGGGCGCUUAC
This 425-nucleotide ribosomal RNA is filed under the name Pantoea sp. Its description in RNAcentral is "bacterial SSU rRNA". It matches the Rfam family "Bacterial small subunit ribosomal RNA", at positions 1031 to 1457 of the family's 1533-position model. Lineage: Bacteria; Pseudomonadati; Pseudomonadota; Gammaproteobacteria; Enterobacterales; Erwiniaceae. The record is from RNAcentral.